UGUUAAAAAUUCCAUCCAUUUUUACUGUUAAAAACUAGUGUGGUUGACCGAAUAAGAUAGUUACACGCGGCAUCCACAUGUACUUUAUUCUAAGUAUAAGGAAUAAUUUUUAACGGUAGAAAUUAAUAAAAUUAAAA
Non-coding RNA from Gossypium raimondii (Peruvian cotton), 137 nucleotides. Lineage: Eukaryota; Viridiplantae; Streptophyta; Magnoliopsida; Malvales; Malvaceae. The record is from Rfam.